ACCUUUUGUAUAAUGGGUCAGCGACUUAUAUUCUGUAGCAAGGUUAACCGAAUAGGGGAGCCGAAGGGAAACCGAGUCUUAACUGGGCGUUAAGUUGCAGGGUAUAGACCCGAAACCCGGUGAUCUAGCCAUGGGCAGGUUGAAGGUUGGGUAACACUAACUGGAGGACCGAACCGACUAAUGUUGAAAAAUUAGCGGAUGACUUGUGGCUGGGGGUGAAAGGCCAAUCAAACCGGGAGAUAGCUGGUUCUCCCCGAAAGCUAUUUAGGUAGCGCCUCGUGAAUUCAUCUCCGGGGGUAGAGCACUGUUUCGGCAAGGGGGUCAUCCCGACUUACCAACCCGAUGCAAACUGCGAAUACCGGAGAAUGUUAUCACGGGAGACACACGGCGGGUGCUAACGUCCGUCGUGAAGAGGGAAACAACCCAGACCGCCAGCUAAGGUCCCAAAGUCAUGGUUAAGUGGGAAACGAUGUGGGAAGGCCCAGACAGCCAGGAUGUUGGCUUAGAAGCAGCCAUCAUUUAAAGAAAGCGUAAUAGCUCACUGGUCGAGUCGGCCUGCGCGGAAGAUGUAACGGGGCUAAACCAUGCACCGAAGCUGCGGCAGCGACGCUUAUGCGUUGUUGGGUAGGGGAGCGUUCUGUAAGCCUGCGAAGGUGUGCUGUGAGGCAUGCUGGAGGUAUCAGAAGUGCGAAUGCUGACAUAAGUAACGAUAAAGCGGGUGAAAAGCCCGCUCGCCGGAAGACCAAGGGUUCCUGUCCAACGUUAAUCGGGGCAGGGUGAGUCGACCCCUAAGGCGAGGCCGAAAGGCGUAGUCGAUGGGAAACAGGUUAAUAUUCCUGUACUUGGUGUUACUGCGAAGGGGGGACGGAGAAGGCUAUGUUGGCCGGGCGACGGUUGUCCCGGUUUAAGCGUGUAGGCUGGUUUUCCAGGCAAAUCCGGAAAAUCAAGGCUGAGGCGUGAUGACGAGGCACUACGGUGCUGAAGCAACAAAUGCCCUGCUUCCAGGAAAAGCCUCUAAGCAUCAGGUAACAUCAAAUCGUACCCCAAACCGACACAGGUGGUCAGGUAGAGAAUACCAAGGCGCUUGAGAGAACUCGGGUGAAGGAACUAGGCAAAAUGGUGCCGUAACUUCGGGAGAAGGCACGCUGAUAUGUAGGUGAAGUCCCUCGCGGAUGGAGCUGAAAUCAGUCGAAGAUACCAGCUGGCUGCAACUGUUUAUUAAAAACACAGCACUGUGCAAACACGAAAGUGGACGUAUACGGUGUGACGCCUGCCCGGUGCCGGAAGGUUAAUUGAUGGGGUUAGCGCAAGCGAAGCUCUUGAUCGAAGCCCCGGUAAACGGCGGCCGUAACUAUAACGGUCCUAAGGUAGCGAAAUUCCUUGUCGGGUAAGUUCCGACCUGCACGAAUGGCGUAAUGAUGGCCAGGCUGUCUCCACCCGAGACUCAGUGAAAUUGAACUCGCUGUGAAGAUGCAGUGUACCCGCGGCAAGACGGAAAGACCCCGUGAACCUUUACUAUAGCUUGACACUGAACAUUGAGCCUUGAUGUGUAGGAUAGGUGGGAGGCUUUGAAGUGUGGA
RNAcentral lists this ribosomal RNA (1580 nucleotides) under Escherichia coli. RNAcentral describes it as "partial 23S ribosomal RNA". It matches the Rfam family "Bacterial large subunit ribosomal RNA", at positions 603 to 2168 of the family's 2925-position model. Lineage: Bacteria; Pseudomonadati; Pseudomonadota; Gammaproteobacteria; Enterobacterales; Enterobacteriaceae. The record is from RNAcentral.